Molecule: unclassified non-coding RNA, 253 nt
Filed under: uncultured Flavobacteriaceae bacterium
Lineage: Bacteria; Pseudomonadati; Bacteroidota; Flavobacteriia; Flavobacteriales; Flavobacteriaceae
Description: contains 16S-23S intergenic spacer region
Rfam family: Bacterial small subunit ribosomal RNA
Source: RNAcentral
UACGGAGGAUCCAAGCGUUAUCCGGAAUCAUUGGGUUUAAAGGGUCCGUAGGCGGGUUAAUAAGUCAGUGGUGAAAGUCUGCAGCUCAACUGUAGAAUUGCCAUUGAUACUGUUAACCUUGAGUAAUUAUGAAGUGGUUAGAAUAUGUAGUGUAGCGGUGAAAUGCGUAGAGAUCUGGAGGAAUACCGGUGGCGAAGGCGGCCCCCUGGACAAAGACUGACGCUGAGGCACGAAAGCUAGGGGAGCGAACGGG